This 482-nucleotide ribosomal RNA is filed under the name uncultured bacterium. RNAcentral describes it as "partial 16S ribosomal RNA". It matches the Rfam family "Bacterial small subunit ribosomal RNA", at positions 30 to 507 of the family's 1533-position model. The record is from RNAcentral.
AUUGAACGCUGGCGGCAUGCUUUACACAUGCAAGUCGAACGGUAACAGGCCGCAAGGUGCUGACGAGUGGCGAACGGGUGAGUGAUGCAUCGGAACGUGCCCAGUCGUGGGGGAUAACUACUCGAAAGAGUAGCUAAUACCGCAUACGAUCUAUGGAUGAAAGCGGGGGACCGUAAGGCCUCGCGCGAUUGGAGCGGCCGAUGUCAGAUUAGGUAGUUGGUGGGGUAAAGGCUCACCAAGCCAACGAUCUGUAGCUGGUCUGAGAGGACGACCAGCCACACUGGGACUGAGACACGGCCCAGACUCCUACGGGAGGCAGCAGUGGGGAAUUUUGGACAAUGGGCGCAAGCCUGAUCCAGCAAUGCCGCGUGCAGGAAGAAGGCCUUCGGGUUGUAAACUGCUUUUGUACGGAACGAAACGGCUCUGGUUAAUACCCGGGGCUAAUGACGGUACCGUAAGAAUAAGCACCGGCUAACUACGUG